GAANUCCCCGAGCUUAACUUGGGAACUGCGUUUUGAACUGNUAAGCUAGAGUAUGUCAGAGGGGGGUAGAAUUCCACGUGUAGCAGUGAAAUGCGUAGAGAUGUGGAGGAAUACCGAUGGCGAAGGCAGCCCCCUGGGAUAAUACUGACGUUCAUGCUCGAAAGCGUGGGUAGCAAACAGGAUUAGAUACCCUGGUAGUCCACGCCCUAAACGAUGUCAAUUAGCUGUUGGGGCACUUGAUGCCUUAGUAGCGAAGCUAACGCGUGAAAUUGACCGCCUGGGGAGUACGGUCGCAAGAUUAAAACUCAAAGGAAUUGACGGGGACCCGCACAAGCGGUGGAUGAUGUGGAUUAAUUCGAUGCAACGCGAAGAACCUUACCUGGUCUUGACAUGUACGGAAUCUUCCAGAGACGGAAGAGUGCCUUCGGGAGCCGUAACACAGGUGCUGCAUGGCUGUCGUCAGCUCGUGUCGUGAGAUGUUGGGUUANNNNNNNNNNCGAGCGCAACCCUUGUCAUUAGUUGCCACCAUUCAGUUGGGCACUCUAAUGAGACUGCCGGUGACAAACCGGAGGAAGGUGGGGAUGACGUCGAGUCCUCAUGGCCCUUAUGACCAGGGCUUCACACGUCAUACAAUGGUCGGUACAGAGGGUAGCCAAGCCGCGAGGUGGAGCCAAUCUCAGAAAACCGAUCGUAGUCCGGAUUGCACUCUGCAACUCGAGUGCAUGAAGUCGGAAUCGCUAGUAAUCGCAGGUCAGCAUACUGCGGUGAAUACGUUCCCGGGUCU
RNAcentral lists this ribosomal RNA (784 nucleotides) under uncultured bacterium. Its description in RNAcentral is "bacterial SSU rRNA". It matches the Rfam family "Bacterial small subunit ribosomal RNA", at positions 596 to 1381 of the family's 1533-position model. The record is from RNAcentral.